Molecule: ribosomal RNA, 326 nt
Filed under: Afroptera koranna
Lineage: Eukaryota; Metazoa; Arthropoda; Insecta; Neuroptera; Nemopteridae
Description: partial large subunit ribosomal RNA
Source: RNAcentral
ACUGUGCAAAGGUAGCAUAAUCAUUUGUCUCUUAAUUGGAGGCUUGUAUGAAUGAUUGGACGAGGUAGGAGCUGUCUCAUUAUUAUAAUUAUAAUAAUUUAGCUUUUUAGUUAAAAGGCUAAAAUUUUUUUGGAGGACGAGAAGACCCUAUAGAUCUUUAUAAUAUUUAAUUUACUUUUAUUUUGGUUAAAAAUUUUUUAGUACAUUAUUAAUUAUUUUGUUGGGGUGACAUGAAAAUUUAUUUAACUUUUCAUUUAUUUAAACAUGAAUUAGUGAAUAUUCGAUCCAUUUUUAGUGAUUGUAAGAAUAAGUUACCUUAGGGAUAA